GACCCAACUAAUUGGCGAAAAGCUGUUCUCCUGGAAAAAUGCCCAAAAACUUGCCCAAAUCGGAAUGCCUUUCGAUAAUCGCGAACAGCUGCUUGAUGAAAUUCAAAUUGAAUUCGAAUUUCUCGCUGAUCAAAACUGGCAGCUUAACAUGUUCUCGUGUUGGAUGCUCGACUUGCUCCGACGUGCUCCACAGUUAAAUGAUGGGCUCGCUCAGGCAACAAUUGGAAAGUUGACUGCAAUUACAGAACAAUUGAACAAAUUACUUUUUAUGCUGGUUUCACAGAGUUUUAUUGUUUCCGUUCAACCGGAACCUGUUUUGAAGACUCAACAUAAAUUUGUCACUGAGGUUUGUUUUUUAAUGGAAAUUAUACAUGUCAAAUUUUGGUGGGUCCCGCCGCGAAAACCACACCGUCGUGACGAGACCCAACUUAGUUAGAAUUCAAGCAAAUUAUAAGAAACAAUAAAAAAAAAUUCAAAAAUUUUAAUUAAAACUUUACCGUUUCAAAAGUCAUUCAAAUAAAUAUGUAAGUCAUACUCAACAAUUUUAUUUAAGAAGUUCAAUUCGAAUAUAAUGUGUGCCACGCAUUUGUUCAGCUUGAAAAUUUCUGGGUCCCACCACAAAAACUACAGUUCCACCCCACCUAAUUUUACGGGUUACUGUAGUUUCCGCUGUGGGACGCAGCAAUUUCAGAAUCCUGAUUUUUCAAUAAAAUUACAAAAAAAAACUAAAAUUUCCAGGUCCGUCUUCUCAUUGGCGAUAAGCUGGGAAUUCGUCAACACCUGGUGAACACAAAUGUUUCAGUGAAAAUUAUAGCAGAAGAUGAAGCCAAGCAGUUGAGUGUUGACUAUGAUGCACAUAAGGAAAUGUGAGUUUUUUUUAAUGAAAAAUUUGAAACAGUAAAUUUUUGAAAAAUUGAGAAAAUUUUUUUUUCUAAAACUUAUACUUUUUCGUAUUAUUUUUAUAUACUUUUCUUAUUUUUUGUGGUUAAUUUGUAGUUGUAUCACUAUAUUCAACACUAAUAUUUUUCAGCCGUAACAACAAGACAGUUGGCACAAUUUCCAAUGAUUUCGAGAAGCUCACAAUGAAUGAAAGAGGACACUUGGCGGCAAAAUUCAAUAAUUCAAAAUUGACAAGAAUUGCACACAGAAAACCGCCCCCAAAAGGAGCAUCUGACUUGAAAUGUGCAGCAAGUAUGCAGGCAGCUACUGAUCAGAAAUAUGCUCUUUUAUUCUUUAUUACACCUUUUCAAAUGGGUAAUUUGAGCAAAGUAAGUUGUUGAUAUUUCAAUUAUGACUUGAUUUUUUUUGAACGUAGUCAGUAACUCAAACUCAAAUGCAAAAUCUUUUAAAAACAACGUGAAACAGCAAAACAUUUAUUUUUUAUUUUUUCACUGUUUCAACAAAAAGUUUAAAAUUUAUUUCAAAAUUUGAGUCUGAUAAACGAACAAUGGUUGAACCAAACAUUUCCAACAUUUCUUUCGGUUUUCACUUUGAAUUACUGAAAUUUUCUAACUGGAUUAGUAAAAGCAGUAAUUCUAUAUUCAAAAAAGUGUAAAGAAACUUGAGAAUUUUCACUGUUUCAGCUACUCUUAAUUUUCAAAAUUUAAUAUGUCCUCCAAUUUCUAUCAAUUAAAAUUUAACAGGAAGAACAAUUCGACGUUUGGACACUUUCUCUUCCAAUAAUGGUUACAGUACACGGAUCUCAAGACUGUGACGCGCAAGUUGCAAUUCUCUGGCACCGCGCAUUCGCCUCAAUCAGCAGAAAUCCAAAUACAACUGAUGUGACAGCUGUGACAUGGGACAAUCUAGCAAUAAUGCUUCGAAACAAGUUCUCCUUAUUCACGGGAGCACGUCGUCCACUUUCAGAUUCAGAUUUGGCAUAUUUAAGUGAGAAAAUGUUAAUGCCAAAUGUGGCAGAUCAGAAGCCAAUCACAUUUCAUCGAUUCGCAAAACAGGCAAUGAGAGAUGACUUACCAUUCUCAUUUUGGGAAUGGUUUUUCUCAAUAAUGCAAUUAAUCAAACAAAAACUGCUCAAAUUCUGGGAUGAGGGAUGGUGCAUUGGAUUUAUUUCAAAAAAUGAUGCGUCUCAAAGUAUGAUGAUGUGUCAGCACUCUUCAUUUUUAUUGAGAUUCUCUGACAGUCAAACUGGUGCUGUAUCGAUUGGUUUUGUUUGUGAAGAGGCUGAUGGACAAAAGAUUCCAUUUCAUUUGGCACCUUUUACUAUUAAGGAUUUGGAUCAAUUGUCACUGGCAAGUCGUAUUGCUUCAUGUCCACAAUUGAAGGAUAUUCGGUUAGUUUUAGACGCGAAAAGUUUACCAUGUUGUUAAGUAUGCUUAGUUACGGUCAAAAAUGGAAAUGUUUAAAAAAAAUUGGAAAAAUGAAAAAAAUUAUACUGUUUCACUAAAUAUUUUAUGUGGUUAAGAAAUUGGACAAAAAAUAAAAAGUUCAAAAAUACUACUUUUUCAUUGAAGAAUCAUAAAUAGCCUCAAUUGCAAUAGUUUGAUAUUUCUGUAACCACGAAAGUGAAUUGAAUUUUCACGCGAUUACUGGGACGUAAGUAUCGUACCUGCCUACGUACCUGCCUACCGCCUAUUUUCUGCGCCCUGGCGGGAAAUUAUGUGAUCUAUGUUCUCACCGUCCAAAAAAAAAAAAACUUCAACUGUUUCACUUAAGAAUUAUAUAAGUUGUUCCUUCUUUUUUUAAUGUUAAGAAAAUACUCCUUCAUCUUUUCUAAUUAUUAUAAUUUGAUUAAACUCUUUUCAAUCAGUGAUCAAUUUAAACAAAAAAUGUUAAAAUUAAAGUCAGAAGUGCCAAAUAAAAAAAAAGGGUAAAUAAAAGUUAAUUUUAGGAGUGAAAACUUAACAAGAUGUUAAGUUUGUUCAGUUACAGUAAAAAAUAAGUGUGAAGAAAAUUGAAAAAAUGAAAAAAAAUUAUACUGUUUCACUAAAUACUUUUAUCAUUUGGUUUGAAGUUAUUGCAUUCUUAUUGCAUUCUCUUUCAUAACAACAAUUUUCGGGUCUUACCACGUUUUGAAACCUUUGAAUUUCAAAAUUUUGCUAUGAAAACUGGCACAUUUAAACAAAACAAAUAUUUUUUAUGUGGUUAAGAAAUUGGAAAAAUUUGAGAAAAAGUUCAAAUUUUCUACUGUUUCAUUGAAUAAUCAUAAAUAGCUUCAAUUGCAAUCGUUUGAUAUUUCUAAUCUUUGUGAAUCACCCUGAAAAAUAUAUAUAAAUAAUGUUCACAUUUUUCACAUUCACAUCAGUACUAAGAAAUACACCUUCUUGCCUUGUGCUUACCUACCUACCACCUAUUUUCUGCGGCCCGGCUGGAAAUUAUGUGAUUUAUGAUUUCACCGUUCAGGCUGAAGCACUUUUGAUAAUAUUUCUGAACGUGGAUAUAAAUUAUGUCAGCAGUUAUUUUGAACAAAAUUAACAAAAAUUUGAAAAAAAACUUCAACUGUUUCACUUAAGAAUUAUAAAAGUUGUCCCUUCUUUUGUUAAUGUUGCAAUUCCGAAAUACUUAUUACAACAAAUGCAUCAUUAUAAUUUGAUCUAAAUCUUUUGAAACUGUGAUCAUUUUACAAAAAUAUUCAAAUGAAAGUUAAAAUUGCCAAUUUAAAUAAAAUACAGGAAUUUAAAAAAAUUUUUUUUUUUUCUAUUGUUUCACUAAAUAAUUUUAUAUGGUUUUUUUCAUUGAACGAUAUUGAAAAUGGCAUCAAUUGUAUAAUUGUUAAAUACACUUUUCUCCGUACUUUUUAGGUCUCAUCACCAUCUCGAUACUGUGAUUUUUAAUAAUUUAUUAUAAGAACUGUCAGCACAGCAGUUUUGAACAAAAAGUUUCAUUUCCAAAUAUUUCAUUUUUCUACUGUUUCAUUGAAUAAUUAUUAAAAACAUCAGUCCCAUUUUUCUGAUAUAUUUUUUAAAAAUAUUUUUUGGAUCCAAUUAGUAAACAUCAUGAAAGUACAUGAAAUGUUAACAUGAACACUUUCUAUAACUGGACACCUCCUGCCUGCCUACCUACUUGCCUACCGCCUAUUUUCCGUUUUUACUCCAACUGUAAUUUUUUGAAUUUUCUCGUUAUAGGCAAAAGUGGGUUACAAAUGACACUUUUUAAAAUUGGAUAAUAACGGUGUGAAAAUAGAAUGAAUGCAGAAACAUGCGCUCGUGAAUAAUAACUAACUGAAACUGGGUGGAAUUUUUACUAAAAUAAAAUCCGGAAAUUGUGAAAACUGCACGGAGUAACUCAAAAAACUAAUCGUUUUUAUAAAAAUUCUAAGGCAAAAAAGUUAGCCUGUCUGCCUACGGUGUAAUUCUUCAAGAAAGUCAAAUUUUGAAAUUAGUGAAUUAAAAAAAAAUUAUGCUGUUUCAGGUUGUUGAUAAAUUAUCGGUUAAUUUCUAACAUCAGUAAACAUCUCACAUCUGGUCGAAAGUUUGAAAAUAUUAGAUACAAUCGAUGUAAGGGCUGCUAUGUUGGGCCGAAAAUUACUGUUUGACUAUAGGCAAGCUACGCCUGACGUGUGCCUUCUACCAGGGGAAGAAUGUGUUUCAUUUCUUUGCCAUUAAAUUAAUUGAAAUAAUAACACUUACAUUUAAAUUUUCGGCUUAGUUGAAACAAUGGUAGGCAGCAAUGUAGGCAGAACGACUUGCCUACCUACAGCUUCAACAAGGCCUUAGCGCCUACUUAGAAAGCCUGAUGAAUUUAAAGCAAUUUAUUUUGGAAAAAUGCCAAAGCAUGUUUCAAGUUGUUCAUUUUUCAAAGUCUAAUAUUCAAAAAUAUUAGUGAAUCACUCAGUUUUUUUUUGAAAAAAAAACAAGGUCUCGCAACGGUUUAUAAUUCUUAUUUUACUUUGAAAAAUAACCGCCAGCCUAUUAAAAAUACGAAUUAAAAAAAAACGCAAAAUGAAAAUAUUUUUCUGUUUCACUGAAAAGAGAUAAGAUCAUGGCUUAGAAUUCGGACAAUGCCUCUUCAAAAAAUGACAAAAAAUGUUUCAAAUUGUCUAUUUGUAAAUCAUGUUUCUGAAAAAUUUAAAUUUUUCCAGAAGUCGCAGAUUUUAGAGUCGAGACCCAAUUUUUAAGGUUUGACAAAACAUUGACUUGAGCUGUAAUCUCUCAAAAUACAUUGUAGACAUGUAAAAUGUGAAAAUGUUUCUACCAAUAGAAAUUGAAAUUAGAAAACAACAAUUUUUCUCACAAAUUCUUGAAACAGUGAAAAAUUUUUUAUUUCAACCGAGUUAAUUAAGGUAGCAACACAUAACUAACAGCGUUCCUCUUAACUUACAAAUUUUGAAACAUGAAAUAAAAACCUCUAAAUUUCAGAUACAUGUACCCGGCAAUCGAUAAAGAAGAAAUGCUGCGUUUCUUCGAGUCCGAGGAGCGUCAUCGCGUGGGCGGUGGUGACAGUCCAACUGGAUAUAUUCAAAGUGAAAUUGUCAUGGUUGCAAAAACAAAUGGGUAGGUUACAGAUGGAAAGUUUAGAAAUUCGGUUUAUUUUAGGAAUUUCAGACGAAUGUCCAAUGCACCGUCCAUGUUUGGUGCAGAUUCUCCGUCACCGUUGUCGGUUCAAAGCAAAUUGGAUUGGUCACCCGGGGAGGUUCAUCAGAAUCAUAUGAUGGAGAUGUGAGUGAUGUGUUCAAAAAGUUUAUGCGUUCGGGGGGAAUCGAACCCCCGUCGAAUGCUUGGAAGGCAUCCAUGCUGACCAUUACACCACGAACGCGGCGAGAAGUCGCUUUCUCAGUGGCCGUUAUCAAACUAAUGACAUCUCAUCUAAAGUGACAUUCGAUAAAGAAAUUUCCAAAAAUUACAAAAUGCGCUCCAAUGCUAAUUCCACUGUUUUUUCCAGGUCCGACGAACUUGGUCAAAUCCUAACAGUCUCGGAUAUGUCGGGAGAUGUAGAAACUCUAUUGGGACCAGCAUUCAAGAAUAAUAUCACAAACUACAAUCCACACGAUGGAAAUCAUCAGCAUAACCUUCAUUUUGUGGAUAUGUCCCAACAGGGAAUGAUGCAACAGCACCACAAUCAAUUUUAUCCCUCAUAAAACACUAUUUAAAUGUUAAAACAGUCCCCCCAAUUACCUCUUUUUGAAUUUCUCUGUCUCCAGUUUAGUAUUCAUAUCUUUGCUUCUUUCGUGCUGUCCAUCUUCCUCAAUUCUUUGAUAAUCUAAUAUUAUUUUGACAAUAUUUACUGAAAAUAAUAUUAAUAAUCACAAGUGAUUUCUGAUCUCAUCCAAUAAAUUAUUUUACUGUAAAUCGAAUGUUUUGAUCUGUUCCACGAUGGAGACAGGAAGCUAGAAAGUUUCAUAUAAGCACGUGAUUCUAACCAAAAAAAAAAAAUUAAUUUUACUGUUUCAGGAAAAUGUUAUCAGUAAAUGCAAUUUCUAAAUAUCGAUGGGGAUCAAGAGCACGAUCAUAAUUUAAACUGUAGGAGAUGAAACUGGAGAAGUCGUGGAAUUGAGAUGAAAGAAAAUAGAAUAGAACUAUUGUCUUCUCACUAAAGGAAAACUGAAUUUUCAGACAAACAUAACAGAAAACAUGACAUGUUCAAUAACUUUUUCAAAUAUCUGUAAAUGGCAAAUCAAGCCCCGGGGAUCAAUUUCAGUUCUCUGCUCUAAAAUAUUUUCAUAUCAUUUACGUUUUGCAGCAUGGAGAUUUAAAAAAAAGUAAUGAAAACUAUUGUCAGUUUUGAAUGAAAAUCAUAUAUGUACUGUAUAAAAUUGCUGAAGUUUUGGAUAAUUAUUAAAAAAAUUCAAGACUCUUCAAGUUUAUUUUCAAAAUGUUGAAGAACUCUCUAUCAGUCGAUUUUAGAUUUCAGUUAUUUUCUCAAAGAUAUUGUGAGUUGAACGCAUUCAAACACAUACAAAAAUAUACAACUGUUAUUAAAAACUCAAAGAAAAUGUAGUUUUAUAAAACUUUUAAUUUUGAAUAAGAAAUUUCUAUAAAUGCAUGUGAAUUGAUUGAAUUAAAUAUCUAAUUAAAUUUUCAAACAUUCUAGGCAAAGCUGUAAACGACAAAAUCACGAAAGCAUUAGUAGCUCAAAUGUAUUGUGAAUAAAAACCUGUUGAAACAGUGGAAAAUUUUUUGAAAAAUUGUUUUCUUGAGUUGGAAAAUUUGUGUAGCUCCUAUUGCGUAUAUUCUCUAUACGUAUUUUGAAAUUUCCCAAGCCACUUUCUUUUUAUUCCCUACCUUUUUCCAGCUUCUCCCUUUUGUAAAUGAGCUCGGCGAGCUUCAACGUUAAUCACUUAUUUGAAACAGUAAAAAAUUUCUUAAAGUAUACGUCGAUUCUGAAAAUACACUGAAAAUGAAAUAAAAUUCUUGAAACUGUAAAAUUUUUUUUUUUAAACCAAUUUUUUUUCACAAAUUUUUCUUUGAAAACGUUUCCUUUUUAUUACCUCCUUGUCUUCCCAUUCCCUUCAUUAAAAAUCUGAAAUUUCCAGACAUGAUGGGCUCAUCGUCGCAAGAGCUUCAAACAGCUCUAACCGACGUCUCAAAGACCUGCCAUCACUUGUGGGAAGAGAAUAAGGACCUCCAAGGCAGAUUUGUGAAUGAACUCGGCGAGCUUCAACGUCUGCAAAUAGUCAUUGCACAGCUGGAACAGCAACAGAGACUAGAAAAUGUAUUCACUGUGAAACAGCAAAUGACAGAGUUACAGAAAAGAGCAGCCACACUUUAUGAGCAUUUGACACAGAAAAGAAAUGAUAUUGUCAUUAAACUUAAUGAUGGCACCAAUUUUGCGACUAUGCUACAG
Molecule: transfer RNA, 7740 nt
Filed under: Caenorhabditis elegans
Lineage: Eukaryota; Metazoa; Nematoda; Chromadorea; Rhabditida; Rhabditidae
Description: Unclassified non-coding RNA Y51H4A.943
Source: RNAcentral